CGGUGCGCUGGCCGUGCCCUUUUGUUCCAGGCUGGAGCCGGCUAGCAAUUAGGAAAGAUUCAACCGGGAGAGUCCAGUACUGCAGGAUUUUUUCUGUGGCCGCUGAAUCAGUUGGGGAUGAUUGUUGCUGACAUACGGUAAACAGCUUUGGGGCGGCAGUAAUCCGUCAGAAACUUGUGCCGGUCCUUCACCUGAUCGUAGGUGUUGCCGGUGCAGGUGCACGUCGCGGGGUGUGUACUCUGACCUCCCCCGGCACUGCGCGGCCGUGAGUAAUGCCGAGCGGCCCGGGGGGGAGAGGUGGAGUUAGGAACGCUCAACAGGUUAUUUCUCCUUCGUGUAAAAUUAAAGGUUUGCUUUGAAACUAGUUCGGAUUUGAAUUUCGAACUAAUUUUUAGCUUGUGGCGCCUGAGCAGUUGCUCCGGCUUCUCAGCGCUACGAGUUCCCGUCGUGUGUUAGCUGUGUUACCGGAGCUCGGCUUAGUGGUGGCUGCUUUCGAGUGAAACUAUGUGGUUUCGGUCUGAUGUCACUUGCUGGUAUGCACUUACUCAGAAGUGGUGUUCUACAGGCUAAGGUAAAAUAUACACCUUACUGUAUUACUACCGAAAAACUUCGGCACUUGAGAUACUAAGUAACAAACUUAUUGUUGUAAGAUACUAUUAGCUGGCGAUUUUACCAACUCCGGUCUUACUUUCGAGGUGUGUUCGAGGCAACCUCAGCUUCCAGAAUGGAAUUUAAAAAACUUAAAAGCUAACGUUGACUAUUGAGCUUCAUGCCUCAUUUUAUGUAUGCUUCCGGAGGUAUUGUAUUACAUUUUAACAUACACACAAACGCAUUUCAACAAUAAAUGUUUGUUGUUGGAAGUAACUUAUUUUGGGCAAA
This is a non-coding RNA of Sturnus vulgaris (Common starling), 879 nucleotides long. The record is from RefSeq and is a predicted model, not a curated record. Lineage: Eukaryota; Metazoa; Chordata; Aves; Passeriformes; Sturnidae.